This is a non-coding RNA of Clarias gariepinus (North African catfish), 561 nucleotides long. The record is from the annotation of a RefSeq genome assembly. NCBI's taxonomy places the organism in Eukaryota, Metazoa, Chordata, Actinopteri, Siluriformes, Clariidae.
UGCAGCAGGUCAGUGAUGAUGAACCAGUGCCUGCUGAUGAUGACCAACACCUCUCAUCUAAUCUACCAGAGCCAAGUGAAAAGGAUGGCAAUCAAACUGAACUGUGUGACAGAGGUUUUUGUACGACGGCUUCAUUGGAAUGUAUCACUGUGGAGGACUUUUGGUGGCGGAACCAAACUCAUUAUAAGAACUGGUCCGGUGGUGAAGCCCUCCGUGUCUCUGCUCCCUCCCUCCUCUCUGCAGCUCUCUGAGGGAUCGGCCUCACUGUUCUGCCUGCUCUCAGCCUAUUCUCCACAGGGGGCGCUGCUGACCUGGACCGUGGAUGGUGCCGAGGUGAACGAGGGGAUUGUGACCAGCACAGAAGAACAGAAGAACGGCUUCUACAGCCGCAGCAGCACCCUGACCCUCAGCAAAGAACGCUGGGAAGAGGCCGAGGUGUUCGGCUGUACCGUCUCCUACCACGACACGACUCAGAUCACCUCGUUCCGAAAGAGUCGCUGUGACGCUCACUAGAAAUCAAGUGUACACUUUAAUGCAUGCUUUGUGGUCUAAAAUGGUGUC